RNAcentral lists this non-coding RNA (28 nucleotides) under Mus musculus (house mouse). The record is from RNAcentral. Lineage: Eukaryota; Metazoa; Chordata; Mammalia; Rodentia; Muridae.
UGGGAUUAAAGGUCUAUGCCACCACAAC